GUAAAAUAAUUAAUUACGGUCAUGUCAAUCAUGUUAUAUACUUGGGAUACUGUACCGCGUUCAACCAGUUAGCAAGUCAGAAAUGUCAGUUUCCUAGUACCGACUAGCACUUGAAUGCAGUAUUAUGCUGGCUUGACAUUCUCGUGGGAAAUGGGAAGUUGUAACUCCAACGUGAUUGUGUUCAAGUGCUUUUGAAGUCGGAACAAUUCUUAAACCUUUAAGAUUAGAAAAUGAUGUUGCCAAUUUCCCACUUGGAGGGUCAUUCAAGUGAAAACGUCCCAGUCGGAACGAGGAAUUUCCGAGAACUCCGACUUGUCCAGCCUUCAUACCCAUUCACGACCACCGCGGACUCCAAAUAAAGACCCUUCACACCUACCACCCUUCUAUUCAGACCACUCAGACCUACGGCUGACACCUUUAGUCUCUCUUGCUCUCUCUCUCCAUCCUCUUGAUCCAUCCUCUGGCUGCAUUUUAUGUAAGUGGAGACUUUUUCGCUUUGAAUUAAUUCAUCUUUCUUCCCAUUUCUUUUGUUUUCAAAAACCAAACCAGGUUGUAGUUUAAAAAUGCAAACCAACUGGAGGAGAUUAUUCAAAAUGUGUAGCUUAAAAUAAGUAAACAAAUCUCACUGGCCCAGGUACUGUUUCAUCUGUCAACUAACGACACUCAUUGCACUAUGCUCCUGAGGCUAUGGCAGGCAGCCUAUAUCUAGGUUACAACAGUUAGUAUGGCACAUUUUUACAUUACAGUGUGGCAUGUGGGGUAAUGUUAAAGUCUCAGGCUUUGUUUAAGUACCAGGCGAGGUCCAUUAUCAGAUCUGACCUAUAUGAUUGAGUCAUUGAAACCCACGUUACCUUCAAACAC
This 861-nucleotide long non-coding RNA is filed under the name Oncorhynchus kisutch (coho salmon). RNAcentral describes it as "lncRNA (ENSOKIG00005002134.1)". Lineage: Eukaryota; Metazoa; Chordata; Actinopteri; Salmoniformes; Salmonidae. The record is from RNAcentral.